CAGAGUGGAUGGAGUUGCAUAAAUACUUUACAUCUCUCUUCACGAUCGCUCCUGCUGAGGAUGCUGGGAAAGCGGACAGCCCUUCAGAAUCCUGUUUAAGCAUCGUAGAGUUAGAUGAGAGGGAUGGAGACGCUAUAAUGUACAGAUCCUUUGGAGUCAAGCAGGGAAAUGAGAGCAAAAUGUUUGCAGCUGUUGGAAAUGGAGGAGAUUUUGGAUAUUCGGUUUUGCCUUUCACACCGUGCUUCUCCGAGAUGACCAAAGGAUCCAUCGGUGAAUGUGAUUCUGACAUAAAGAUCAACUCUUCUUCUGAGAUGUGGCCGCUGUCUCAAGAGGCUGAACAAUCUUCGUCAUCAUUGCCAAGAUCAGAAAGCUUUUCUCCACUUCAGACGAGGCUUCAGAGAUCACAGCACCUGUCGACUGCCUCAUAAUCCUUUCUGUCAAAUUCACGAACAGGAGGCCAGAAAGUGGAACUCAGUGACUCUCCAAAACCAAGAUCUUCUGCAGCACAACAGGACAAAUCCUCAGAGCUUCUGCCAACAUCAUCCCCUUCACUCCCAAAAAUCAAAUUAAAUCAAACUCUCCCAGGCUUUGAGGACCAUAUUUCCACUGUCAGCCUCUCUCCUGGUGAAAUACCAUCUGUUAGGCCCUCUCAAUGUCAUUUUCCUGCUUUUCUCAUCUCUAAACAAAGUCCAAAACCUCCAGAUUCUCUGUCCCCAAGGUCUUGAUCAGUUUCUUCUCUAGUAAACCCAGUCCAAUCCAGACCUGCUCAUUCAACACCUGUUUCUGAACUGUCUCCAGAACGUGCCAUCACUUCCCCAAGUGCUGCAGUUCCUUCAUUAAAGCUGUCACUUAGAGAAUCAUCACAGUCUGGAUUAGUCUCAUAUAGAAGUAUAUCUACUAUGCCUGUCUAUGACUCCUUCAGUUCUUCUAUGCUGAGGGAUAAAUCUUCUCACCCGGCCUCCGAAUGGUUUAAGGGCUCACGGAGGUCACCCAAAACCAAAGUGUGCUCCUUACAGCUAAACAUGUCAGUUGUAGGGCAGGAGUCCUGGAUAUCCAGCAGCAGUCUUCAGCAUCACGCAGAGGAAGAGCUGGUCACUGUGCUGAUGAACGCUCGGCCCGUCAGUAGCACCCCUUGUCCCCUCAAACCAGGCCGUAGCAGAGUGUCAUCACACAGGCUGUGUUUCUCAGGCACCAUAAACAUAUGUUCUCCCAUCUCUUCUCGGCCCCUGAGUGCCGGGACUCAUCGGCCGCUGUCUCUUGCUGCUGAGGAGAUCAUGGAGGUCCAGACCGUGGAGCAGCUCGAUCUCCAGGACUCUGAUGAAGAUAGGGAGGAUUGCCUGGCUCUGGCCUGCCUUGAGGAAGAUACCAAACAUAUGAGCACUACACCAUUAGAUGAGGGUUUUUAG
Molecule: long non-coding RNA, 1406 nt
Organism: Cyprinus carpio carpio
Lineage: Eukaryota; Metazoa; Chordata; Actinopteri; Cypriniformes; Cyprinidae
Source: Ensembl